AAUACUCAAGGAGUGCUCCAAUAGAAAUAUUUUACUUUCCAGGUAUCCAAUUCUAAUCCUAUAUUAUUUUGUAACUUUUUUUUUUACUUGGUGAAAUUAUAGUUUGUGCAAUGUUUUUAUUCAUAUUUAUUUUCCUCAAUUGAAUUGAAUUUGGAAGUAGUAGCUUCAGGCUUUCUUUGUUUUGCUGCCUUCCCCGUGAAAGAAAAUGAAAAUGAAGAACUGGAGGCUAUAGCUAGCCAGAAAUUUGUAGAAGAAUAUCAGGUAUUUCACUAUUUAUUUUUUAAAAUAUAUCAGUUUCAUGGACCCUAUUCAAAUAGAGUCAUAACUAUGCACAAAUAAAUCGACUUCUUUAUCAUUUUACUACUUUGAGUUUUGAUUCUCACUUCUCACAAGUGAUUUUUUUCAUAUAAUCCUUGAAAUUUAGGAACUAAGAGUUUUAGCGACACUUUAUUUUAUCUUUCUUUCUUUUGAUUGUUAUACUGUAAGAAAAUUACUACGCGAUUGAACAUUGAUAUGAUCUGCAUAUUGUUUGGAUGAAAUUUUUGUCAAUGUAUAAUCUUUAGAAGAGAAUUGGAAUAUAUAAAGUAAUUAACUUUAUUGUUUGUGGUAAAUAAUUCAGUAAUUCCAUUUGAAUUUCUCCAUGGAAAGGGAGAAGCAAAAAAGAUUUUGAAAUUGUGUAGUAACGUAAAAGAGUAAUUACAUGUGCUUCUUUGCUUCUUCUUCUUCUUCUUCUUUUUCUUCUUUUUCUAUCUAGUGAAAUAGGGUUUUGAAGUUUUGUAAAUGCUUAUUUUAGUGAAAAGUAGUAAAAUUAAAGAAUUCGCAUUUCUUUAAAAUUAUUUAGCUGAUUAUAUAUAUAUAUAUAUAAAUUUUAGCAACUUUUUUUUAAUUUUCUUUCAUUUUCAUAUUUUCAUAUCUUCCUUCGUGCUAAUGUGGAAGUCUUCGAUAUGAAGAGGUAAGCAAAAAGUUUGUUUUGUAACUUUUAUUAUUUAACUUUCUGUAAGAUUUUUCAUAUAAAUAUUGUUGAAUCUUUAAAUCUUUGUCUAUUCACCUUAUGAUAUACUUUGGAGUUGUUUAACAGGAAUGCAAGCUAAAUUUUAGAGGGAUGAAACUGUUCACAUGUAUUUAUUCCUACAAAUUGUCAAUCAAAAGUUGUGAUCGUCCUAUGCUAUGGAGUGCAAUAUUCUCAAUCAAAAGGUCAUCAUCUCAACGUAACGAAAUUUUUUAUUUCUUUCGCGUUGAAAUCACUAUAUAUACCUGGAUUACUGAAACAAAUUGGUAUAUAAAAUCUAAUCAUAUACUUUUGCUUGUGAAUUAAAAUAUUUUUUUAAUAGUCAACUUCUUUUUGUAACUAAAUGUUUUGCAAAUUGUCCUUUUUUUGUUUUUUUGUAUAAUUUUAUGGGUAUUUUAAAUUGGAUAAGAUUUAUGUCUCUUUUUGUAUAUUGUAGACAUUAUUGGUUUUUAUCUUAUUUUUCAGGAAUAUGAAAUUUAGUUAAAUUUAUUUUUGCUUAUCAGUUUAUGGUGUUUACAUUUGGAUUUUUGUGUUUAUAUUACCACAGUUGAAUCAAAUAAAAAAAUCAUAGGGAGAAAGGCUGGAAAAAAAGCUCAAGCUCAGGCUGGUUAAGGCAAUACCAAGAUAAAAAUGAUAGUUUGGCUCGUGAGUUUAACUAUUACAAAG
Molecule: long non-coding RNA, 1675 nt
Filed under: Nicotiana benthamiana
Lineage: Eukaryota; Viridiplantae; Streptophyta; Magnoliopsida; Solanales; Solanaceae
Description: long non-coding RNA (NBEN_LNC009914)
Source: RNAcentral